Molecule: ribosomal RNA, 1255 nt
Filed under: Bacillus sp. (in: firmicutes)
Lineage: Bacteria; Bacillati; Bacillota; Bacilli; Caryophanales; Bacillaceae
Description: bacterial SSU rRNA
Rfam family: Bacterial small subunit ribosomal RNA
Source: RNAcentral
AAGACUGGGAUAACUCCGGGAAACCGGGGCUAAUACCGGAUGGUUGUUUGAACCGCAUGGUUCAGACAUAAAAGGUGGCUUCGGCUACCACUUACAGAUGGACCCGCGGCGCAUUAGCUAGUUGGUGAGGUAACGGCUCACCAAGGCGACGAUGCGUAGCCGACCUGAGAGGGUGAUCGGCCACACUGGGACUGAGACACGGCCCAGACUCCUACGGGAGGCAGCAGUAGGGAAUCUUCCGCAAUGGACGAAAGUCUGACGGAGCAACGCCGCGUGAGUGAUGAAGGUUUUCGGAUCGUAAAGCUCUGUUGUUAGGGAAGAACAAGUGCCGUUCAAAUAGGGCGGCACCUUGACGGUACCUAACCAGAAAGCCACGGCUAACUACGUGCCAGCAGCCGCGGUAAUACGUAGGUGGCAAGCGUUGUCCGGAAUUAUUGGGCGUAAAGGGCUCGCAGGCGGUUUCUUAAGUCUGAUGUGAAAGCCCCCGGCUCAACCGGGGAGGGUCAUUGGAAACUGGGGAACUUGAGUGCAGAAGAGGAGAGUGGAAUUCCACGUGUAGCGGUGAAAUGCGUAGAGAUGUGGAGGAACACCAGUGGCGAAGGCGACUCUCUGGUCUGUAACUGACGCUGAGGAGCGAAAGCGUGGGGAGCGAACAGGAUUAGAUACCCUGGUAGUCCACGCCCUAAACGAUGAGUGCUAAGUGUUAGGGGGUUUCCGCCCCUUAGUGCUGCAGCUAACGCAUUAAGCACUCCGCCUGGGGAGUACGGUCGCAAGACUGAAACUCAAAGGAAUUGACGGGGGCCCGCACAAGCGGUGGAGCAUGUGGUUUAAUUCGAAGCAACGCGAAGAACCUUACCAGGUCUUGACAUCCUCUGACAAUCCUAGAGAUAGGACGUCCCCUUCGGGGGCAGAGUGACAGGUGGUGCAUGGUUGUCGUCAGCUCGUGUCGUGAGAUGUUGGGUUAAGUCCCGCAACGAGCGCAACCCUUGAUCUUAGUUGCCAGCAUUCAGUUGGGCACUCUAAGGUGACUGCCGGUGACAAACCGGAGGAAGGUGGGGAUGACGUCAAAUCAUCAUGCCCCUUAUGACCUGGGCUACACACGUGCUACAAUGGACAGAACAAAGGGCAGCGAAACCGCGAGGUUAAGCCAAUCCCACAAAUCUGUUCUCAGUUCGGAUCGCAGUCUGCAACUCGACUGCGUGAAGCUGGAAUCGCUAGUAAUCGCGGAUCAGCAUGCCGCGGUGAAUACGUUCCC